CCCUAUUAUACCAUAUUGAUAUAUUUUUGCUUGAGUAGUAAUCAGUUAUGUUCUUGAAACUUAAAGAAUUUGGCGGUAUUCAAGUCUUGUUAGAGGAACCUGAUCUGUUAACGAUAUGCCACGAAUUAUCUUACUCUCACUUGAUUUCAGUAUGUAUACCGCCAUUGGCAAAGCAAUGUUUAUAGACGUGUGCUAUAAAAAAUUAUUUUAGUAUAUUAGGUCUAGGUGCAGCUUAUGUGAGAGUUGAAUUGGGUUACAUUAUAUUAUAUAUGUUGGAUAAAGAUUUUAUAAUUCUUUUGAAAUUGGAUUUAAUUGUAUUUGUAUUUUAAUAAGUUAUAAUGAUAUUAGCUCUAGAAUAUGUACACAUCGCCC
Molecule: ribosomal RNA, 372 nt
Filed under: Anchiopontonia hurii
Lineage: Eukaryota; Metazoa; Arthropoda; Malacostraca; Decapoda; Palaemonidae
Description: partial 12S ribosomal RNA
Source: RNAcentral